This 17-nucleotide microRNA is filed under the name Macrophomina phaseolina MS6. RNAcentral's name for it is "miR-3656". The record is from RNAcentral. Lineage: Eukaryota; Fungi; Ascomycota; Dothideomycetes; Botryosphaeriales; Botryosphaeriaceae.
GGCGGUGGCGGGGGUGG